GCCGAACUGGGGAGGAGGCAAGAAAUGUGGGGUGUGUCAGAAGACGGUUUACUUUGCCGAAGAGGUUCAGUGCGAAGGCAACAGCUUCCAUAAAUCCUGCUUCCUGUGCAUGGUCUGCAAGAAGAAUCUGGACAGUACCACUGUGGCCGUGCAUGGUGAGGAGAUCUACUGCAAGUCCUGCUACGGCAAGAAGUAUGGGCCCAAAGGCUAUGGCUACGGGCAGGGCGCAGGCACCCUCAGCACUGACAAGGGGGAGUCGCUGGGUAUCAAGCACGAGGAAGCCCCUGGCCACAGGCCCACCACCAACCCCAACGCAUCCAAAUUUGCCCAGAAGAUUGGUGGCUCCGAGCGCUGCCCCCGAUGCAGCCAGGCAGUCUAUGCUGCGGAGAAGGUGAUUGGUGCUGGGAAGGUAAGGCGGCUGCUGGGCAUGAGAGGGAUCAGGGGAGAUAUCUUCCUGAAAUGUGGAUUCCAGAACUUUUAAAUUGGUGACCUAGCUCUGCUCAGGGCAGCCUGAGCACUGGGGUUUAACCUCUUCUCUUUGUCCCUGUGGGUUGCAUGUACCUGUGCUUUCCAGUCUCCAAGGAGCUCAUAUCAGCCAUGAGCAGUAACAUCCCCAGCAUUGAUGGACAGUGGGCAAUUCAUAGGGAGUGGCAAUGAUCAAUCUGUAUCUCUAAUAUAGGAGAACAGAAAGUAAGGGUACGUGGAUGGGCUGCAGAGGGUCCACAAAGCCCUGAAGAUUAUAUACAAAGUUUCAUGGGAACCUGUCUGUUUCUUAGAAGAAGAUCCAUAGCUUUUAUUAAAUUUUCAAAGGAUUUGUGAUCCCAAAAAUAUACAUUCUGUUUCAUGGGAUGUGGACUCCCAAAAACCCAUCCAAAUAACCCCAGGGCAGAGAUUUUCAAGGUUCAGACCUAUCAGAGCCUCCUAGGAGGCUUUUUUCACACUGUUUAGAAUUGCCACACAUGCCCUUCCCCCAUGAUAUUCUGACAGUAGUCCCCAAUCACCAAUGCACAGUGAGAAUCACUGUAGCAAAUCAACAGUUCCCAAUUGAGCUGAUCACUUCCUUCAGAUAGGCUGCAGUAGAGAAGAGGCAGAACUCUUGCCCCUGGGGUUUGCAGUGUCAGAUUAGCAGUCAGAAAAUCACAGAAGAGAUGUCUUUCAGCUAUGGGGCCAGAGAGGAUUUCUGGAGCAUCACGUGAGGCCUGAGAUAGAAAAGUGACUUGGCCAAGAUCACACAACAAGGUUAUGGAAUGUCUGGGCCUGGAGCCCAUCUUCAUCUCUUCUGGAUUCAGGUUUUGGCUUUCAAGGCUUUUUGACCUUGAGGAAUGGGAUAGGGGAAUGGAUCAAGAAAUGUUAAACAAUUAACACUUAGGCCAAUGUUAGAAUCUCUACUCUCACAGUCAUGGUUGGACAGAGAUGGGGAUUAGUAUCCCUGUUGUACAGAUGAAGAAACUGGGAGUCAGAAGGAUUACACAAUUUGCCCAGAUCCGCUAGCUAGGAAGGGGCUAAGCCAGACUCAAGCCCAGGUUUGUCUGACUCCGAAGCCCCUGCUCUUACUGCUGUUACUACUGUUAAUGCUACUUUGGGCCAUUUGGCCUCUUCAAACCCAUUUCCAAGGCUGCAAAAUGGGAAGGGAUUGUUAAUCCUAGCACGGUGAUUAAGAGCUUGGACUCCAGACAGCCUGCUUUGAAUCCUAGUUUUGCCAUUUAUUGGCUGAGCGAACUUGGGAAAAUUUAGCCUUCCUAAGCCUCAGUUCUUCAGCUCUAAAGUGGGCCUGGAUGGUGGAGGAAAUGCAAAGUGGACCAAUUAAUGGUCCCUGACAAAUAAGGCAGUUUUUUUUGUUUGUUUGUUUUUGUUUUUGUUUUCUUUUGGCAGAAUUUCACACUUGUCACCUAGGCUGGAGUACAGUGGCGCGAUCUUAGCACUCUGCCUUCCGAGUUCAAGUGAUUCUCCUGCCUCAGCCUCCCGAGUAGAUGGGACUACAGGCACGCGCCACCACACCCAGCUAAUUUUUGUAUUUUUAGUGAAGAUGGGGUUUGACCAUGUUGGCCAGGCUGGUCUUGAACCAGCCUGGACCUCACGAUCCACCCACCUCGGCCUCCAAAAGUGCUGGGAUUACAGGUGUGAGCCACCACACCCAACAACAAGGCAGUUUUAAUGAUUAAAUGAGAUAGUACAUGUAUAAUGUGCAAUGUAGUGCCUGGUAUGUCCUCAGUACAGUUUUGCUAUUGUUAUUAUUAUUGUUGUUUAUUUUCAGGGAUUAUUAUGAGGUCACAAUGAAGAUCCUUGCCAUUGACUAAAGGAUAUGAAAACAGGAGACAUUAAUAUUAUUAUUAAGUUGGGUUUUUUGUUCUAUCUCAUUAUGAGAAUAGAAAAUUAUUAAGAAUAGCUAAGAAUCACUAUUUCCAUUACUUAGGCAGGCUAUAAGGUAAAGUUAGGGCUGUACUAAGGAGUAGGAUAAGAGAAUUUUGCAUUCAAGUGGAAAAGGUAGGGAGAAGCCCCACCUUUCUAUUGCCUCGCUCAAGAAAUGUUGAGCUGGGAGUACUUUUGGGUGCUUAUGAAUGAGCAAAGGGAUUCAGCUUAUUUUGGCAGGGAGGUGGCUAGGAAAUAUGAGGAGAGGUGUUUGUCUAGGUGUGAUUCAGUUUUUCUCCAGCCUAGAGAGCUUGGGGUAGCAGCCCCUGCUUUACAGAGGAGGCAGCAAAGGCUGGGUGACUAUUGAGGUUGCACCAGCACUGACCUAGACCCAGGUCCCCCCAUUUCAGCUCUCUGGAGGAGAAGCCAAUGUGCAAGUUUAGGCAACCAGGAAAUCUGAGGGGAUGAAUUUCCUUUCUCAUCCGCCAGCCUGGGCACUGGGAGUGUCUUUGCCCUUAAAAGGCCUUGUUUUGUCUUAUCUGACCGCCGCCUGCCUCUUGCUUUUCCUGGGUUAAGCAGAGCUGUCUACACAUCAGCCUCUUAGCCUGCCCAGCUGUUGAUGGGAACUGGCUGUGGAGAAGUCUGUCUGUGCAACGUCCCAUCACUGUGUACAAACUCGGGCCUCAGUUUUUUUCUGGGACAGCUGUUUGCCCUGUGUUACAGAAUGCAUGUGAGGACUAGAUAUUUAAACAUAUGAUGCCUGGCCACAGAGAAGGUAUUUGUAAUUGGAUUCUCCUGGACCAGCCCAGCCUCUGAAGUUCUAGAAUUAGGUGCCUCCUUUGCCCAAAGGCUAUCAGCUAUUGGAGGGGAGGGUGGCAGUAUGUCCCUCACUGGGUAGCUGUGAACACUAACUGACUUCACCAGUGUAAAGUGCCUGGCACAGGGCCUGGCACAGAGGAAGCCAGAGUCAAUGUUGUCUAGUAUCACUUUGGAAGGAGAAUAAGUCUAUGAAAUGCAUUAAACUCAGCAGGGAAAGUCCUAAGGAGUAGUUUCUCCAGGGGCCACAGAAGACCCUUUGGGUCUCUAUGAGAGGCCCCAAGGCAACACAGGGCAGAGAGGUCUUCCCGGUGAGGGCUGUUCAAGUACUAAGUGACAGUACCAGGAGGAGUGCAAAGCCCUGGCUCACACCACUGAUCUACUGGCAAGAUGGGUCUGGAGAAGGCUCAUCUGGCCCAGCCAGUGGGGUAACAGCUACUUUGGUGUUAAACCCACCCCCUCACCUGCCUUUUGUGGUAUAGCUGGUGACCCUAAUCAUCAGGCCAUUGCAACAUAGCAUGGAAGAUGGUGCGAGGUGGCAUGUGGUCCCUGGCCUUCUCCCUCUACUGCCUUGCACCAUAGGCCAUGUCCUCCCAGCAGCACCAGCUGAGCAGACUUCAGAAGUGGCUUGAGCCCUUAUACCAUGGUUAUGUCAAAGGGAGUGGGCCUGGGGUGGAGGGUACCCUCAUCACUGGUGGCAGCCUUUAACUAUUUCCUUCCCUGCCUAGUCCUGGCAUAAGGCCUGCUUUCGAUGUGCCAAGUGUGGCAAAGGCCUUGAGUCAACCACCCUGGCGGACAAGGAUGGUGAGAUUUACUGCAAAGGAUGUUAUGCUAAAAACUUCGGGCCCAAGGGCUUUGGUUUUGGGCAAGGAGCUGGGGCCUUGGUCCACUCUGAGUGAGGCCACCAUCACCCACCACACCCUGCCCACUCCUGCGCUUUUCAUCGCCAUUCCCUUCCCAGCAGCUUUGGAGACCUCCAGGAUUAUUUCUCUGUCAGCCCUGCCACAUAUCACUAAUGACUUGAACUUGGGCAUCUGGCUCCCUUUGGUUUGGGGGUCUGCCUGAGGUCCCACCCCACUAAAGGACUCCCCAGGCCUGGGAUCUGACACCAUCACCAGUAGGAGACCUCAGUGUUUUGGGUCUAGGUGAGAGCAGGCCCCUCUCCCCACACCUCGCCCCACAGAGCUCUGUUCUUAGCCUCCUGUGCUGCGUGUCCAUCAUCAGCUGGCCAAGACACCUGAGGACACAUCUUGGCACCCAGAGGAGCAGCAGCAACAGGCUGGAGGGAGAGGGAAGCAAGACCAAGAUGAGGAGGGGGGAAGGCUGGGUUUUUUGGAUCUCAGAGAUUCUCCUCUGUGGGAAAGAGGUUGAGCUUCCUGGUGUCCCUCAGAGUAAGCCUGAGGAGUCCCAGCUUAGGGAGUCACUACUGGAGGCAGAGAGGCAUGCAGGCGGGGUCCUAGGAGCCCCUGCUUCUCCAGGCCUCUUGCCUUUGAGUCUUUGUGGAACGGAUAGCCUCCCACUAGGACUGGGAGGAGAAUAACCCAGGUCUUAAGGACCCCAAAGUCAGGAUGUUGUUUGAUCUUCUCAAACAUCUAGUUCCCUGCUUGAUGGGAGGAUCCUAAUGAAAUACCUGAAACAUAUAUUGGCAUUUAUCAAUGGCUCAAAUCUUCAUUUAUCUCUGGCCUUAACCCUGGGUCCUGAGGCUGUGGCCAGCAGAGCCCAGGCCAGGGCUCUGUUCUUGCCACACCUGCUUGAUCCUCAGGUGUGGAGGGAGGUAGGCACUGCCUCAGUCUUCAUCCAAACACCUUUCCCUUUGCCCUGAGACCUCAGAAUCUUCCCUUUAACCCAAGACCCUGCCUCUUCCACUCCACCCUUCUCCAGGGACCCUUAGAUCACAUCACUCCACCCCUGCCAGGCCCCAGGUUAGGAAUAGUGGUGGGAAGAAGGGGAAAGGGCUGGGCCUCACCGCUCCCAGCGACUGAAAGGACAACACUAUCUGGAGCCACCCACUGAAAGGGCUGCAGGCAUGGGCUGUACCCAAGCUGAUUUCUCAUCUGGUCAAUAAAGCUGUUUAGACCAG
Molecule: small RNA, 5245 nt
Filed under: Pan troglodytes (chimpanzee)
Lineage: Eukaryota; Metazoa; Chordata; Mammalia; Primates; Hominidae
Description: retained intron
Source: RNAcentral